CUCGUAGGCGGUUCAACAAGUCGGUCGUGAAAGCCCGGGGCUCAACCCCGGGACGCCGGUCGAAACUGUUGUGACUAGGGUCCGGUAGAGGUGAGUGGAAUUCUCGGUGUAGCGGUGGAAUGCGCAGAUAUCGAGAGGAACACCAGUAGCGAAGGCGGCUCACUGGGCCGGUACCGACGCUGAGGAGCGAAAGCAUGGGGAGCAAACAGGAUUAGAUACCCUGGUAGUCC
This 230-nucleotide ribosomal RNA is filed under the name uncultured bacterium. RNAcentral's name for it is "partial 16S ribosomal RNA". It matches the Rfam family "Bacterial small subunit ribosomal RNA", at positions 568 to 796 of the family's 1533-position model. The record is from RNAcentral.